Non-coding RNA from Pimephales promelas (fathead minnow), 239 nucleotides. The record is from RefSeq and is a predicted model, not a curated record. Lineage: Eukaryota; Metazoa; Chordata; Actinopteri; Cypriniformes; Leuciscidae.
GUGGAAACAAAGACACCUACAUCUUGGAUGCCCUUGAGCCCUCUGCCAUGGCUGCUGAUAUUGAGAGAGCUGUCACCCUGCCAAGCACACCUCGAUUAGUUGUCCCAGAAGAGAUACUUCGUGGCGCAGACACAUGGAAUAUCUCCGUGGAAGGAGCAUGUGUGAUGGGGCCCCACAGUAACCUCCUGCAUGGACUGGCAGCAGUCUUCGCUGCCUACUUUUGUCUUCAACUUCCAAUA